RNAcentral lists this ribosomal RNA (504 nucleotides) under Liphistius sp. Dawei. RNAcentral's name for it is "partial large subunit ribosomal RNA". It matches the Rfam family "Bacterial large subunit ribosomal RNA", at positions 1788 to 2625 of the family's 2925-position model. Lineage: Eukaryota; Metazoa; Arthropoda; Arachnida; Araneae; Liphistiidae. The record is from RNAcentral.
CAUGGCGCCUGUUUAUCAAAAACAUGGUUUUUUGUGUUUAUAGAAAAUCUGGUCUGCUCACUGCUAUAAGUAAAGAGCCGCAGUAUAUUGACUGUGCUAAGGUAGCAUAAUCAUUUGUCUUUUAAUUGAAGACUAGUAUGAAUGAUUUUACGAGGUAACAUCUGUCUCUAUAAAACCGUUUGAAUCUGAUUAGUUAGUAAAAAGGCUACUAUAAUUCUGUAGGACGAUAAGACCCUAUUAAGCUUAAUUUUUGAAUUUUACUGGGGCGGUAAUUUAAGAGGAAAAACUUAAAUAUUAUGAUUAAAUUAGUAAGACCCAAUAUUAUUGAGUCUAGGAUAAAGUUACUAUAGGGAUAACAGCUUAAUUUUUUUAUUAAGUUCUUAUUUUAAAAAAAGUUUGUGACCUCGAUGUUGAAUUAAAGAUUCUACUUGGUGUAGUAGUUAAGUUAGAAAGUCUGUUCGACUUUUAAUUCUUUACGUGAUCUGAGUUCAGACCGGCCAUGGG